This 671-nucleotide ribosomal RNA is filed under the name Triticum aestivum (bread wheat). RNAcentral's name for it is "partial small subunit ribosomal RNA". Lineage: Eukaryota; Viridiplantae; Streptophyta; Magnoliopsida; Poales; Poaceae. The record is from RNAcentral.
UACGCGGGGGCAGGUGCGGCUACAAACUACGGCACAGUUCGUAGGCUGCUUGGGGGGCUACCUAUUCUCGUGGGGCUGCGGAGACCUGUUUGGGAGCGGGGCAAGGGAGGAGAGGGAGCGAGCAGGAGAAGACACGUUGCGCGCGUCGGCAACGGUGCCGGAACGGCAGGCGCACCGGUUGCAGCAGGGGCGCGGUUUAAUCGAACAAGGGGGCCGAGGGGGAAGCAGCAGAUGUAGUGGACGCUCCUGGUCGAGCUCGGGGGAGCGCGACGUAGCGGACCUAGUUCAGUAGAAGAUGGAGGCCAGCGGUGAGUAGCGGCGAAGCUAAACAGCGGAGGUUCGGAAGGGGCUCGAACGAAACGUGGAGAUGUCCAAGCGCGGUCUACGACCUCAGGUCCUCGAUCUCUAGGGCUCCUACUAAGAUACACCUCAAGCCGAAGCUCCUCAUCAAUCCUCCAGGGUCCGUCCUCCGGAACGGAAAAGCUAGCAACGAUGAAAACACGAUCGGAAGAAUUCCGUUUGAACAAAUUGGAUACCGACAUGAGUCUAUAACAACGAAGGCGACUGAGCAGAUACUAGCUCGUGAACAUAAGCUCGGGAGCUCCGGGAACCGAACAUAAUACUACGAACAUACUGAAUAAAUACAACAUCUCAACACAACACUAUAGAAG